AAUCCACCUUGAAGAUAUCAGUUGAAACAGAAUGACAUAUGUUGUCUAUGGAGGAAAAAAAAAUGAAAUAAGCUCUAAAAAUGACUGAGAAAGAUAUAUUGUUGCGACCUUAAAGACCAUUCCUCAAACAUCAUCUCAUGUUUUCUUUUUUUUUUUUUUUUUUUU
Molecule: non-coding RNA, 165 nt
Filed under: Pteridomonas danica
Lineage: Eukaryota; Dictyochophyceae; Pedinellales
Source: RNAcentral